GUAGGUGGCAAGCGUUGUCCGGAAUUAUUGGGCGUAAAGCGCGCGCAGGCGGUUCUUUAAGUCUGAUGUGAAAGCCCACGGCUCAACCGUGGAGGGUCAUUGGAAACUGGAGAACUUGAGUACAGAAGAGGAAAGCGGAAUUCCACGUGUAGCGGUGAAAUGCGUAGAGAUGUGGAGGAACACCAGUGGCGAAGGCGGCUUUCUGGUCUGUAACUGACGCUGAGGCGCGAAAGCGUGGGGAGCAAACAGGAUUAGAUACCCUGGUAGCCACGCCGUAAACGAUGAGUGCUAAGUGUUAGGGGGGUUUCCGCCCCCCUUAGUGCUGCAGCUAACGCAUUAAGCACUCCGCCUGGGAGUACGGCCGCAAGGCUG
This 372-nucleotide ribosomal RNA is filed under the name uncultured organism. RNAcentral describes it as "partial 16S ribosomal RNA". It matches the Rfam family "Bacterial small subunit ribosomal RNA", at positions 527 to 896 of the family's 1533-position model. The record is from RNAcentral.